RNAcentral lists this long non-coding RNA (426 nucleotides) under Setaria viridis. RNAcentral describes it as "long non-coding RNA (SVIR_LNC000432)". The record is from RNAcentral. Lineage: Eukaryota; Viridiplantae; Streptophyta; Magnoliopsida; Poales; Poaceae.
UGGGGGGUGCAGGCGCAUGUGGGGGAGCCAGGAAAAUAAAGGAGAGAGAGAAGGAAGAGGAAGGGAGAGGAGGAAGAAAGAGAAGGAAAAAGGAGAAGGAAAAGAAAGAGGAAGAAAAAGAAAGAAGGAAGAGAAAGAGAGGGAAGGGAGGGGAAAAAGAUGGCGGAAAUUGCGGGAUUCGCCUGCGCGCGGUGAUGGACUUGACGGGCACGCGGCGAAAAUUACGGGGAGCGUAAAAAUGGAGAAUUGACGGGCCGGGGCCAGGACGGCGGGUCCGACGGAAGGGAAAGGAUUUGACGGAGCUCGGCGGUCGGAAAAUUUUUGGAAAGUGUUUUUAACGGGUGAUUUAACUGGGUGUAUUUUACGGGCGUUACACUAGGCCAGACGUGGGGUCCCAUGUGGGGGUGCAUCUCUAGGUUCGGGUAG